Molecule: ribosomal RNA, 492 nt
Filed under: uncultured bacterium
Lineage: Bacteria
Description: partial 16S ribosomal RNA
Rfam family: Bacterial small subunit ribosomal RNA
Source: RNAcentral
AGUGAACGCUGGCGGUAGGCCUAACACAUGCAAGUCGAACGGCAGCACAGUAAGAGCUUGCUCUUACGGGUGGCGAGUGGCGGACGGGUGAGGAAUACAUCGGAAUCUACUUUUUCGUGGGGGAUAACGUAGGGAAACUUACGCUAAUACCGCAUACGACCUACGGGUGAAAGCAGGGGAUCUUCGGACCUUGCGCGAUUGAAUGAGCUGAUGUCGGAUUAGCUAGUUGGCGGGGUAAAGGCCCACCAAGGCGACGAUCCGUAGCUGGUCUGAGAGGGUGAUCAGCCACACUGGAACUGAGACACGGUCCAGACUCCUACGGGAGGCAGCAGUGGGGAAUAUUGGACAAUGGGCGCAAGCCUGAUCCAGCCAUACCGCGUGGGUGAAGAAGGCCUUCGGGUUGUAAAGCCCUUUUGUUGGGAAAGAAAAGCAGCAGGUUAAUACCCCGCUGUUCUGACGGUACCCAAAGAAUAAGCACCGGCUAACUUCGUG